UAGUCCACGCCGUAAACGAUGAGUGCUAGCUGUUGGAUUUUCGGAUUCAGUGGCGCAGUUAACGCAUUAAGCACUCCGCCUGGGGAGUACGGUCGCAAGAUUAAAACUCAAAGGAAUUGACGGGGACCCGCACAAGCGGUGGAGCAUGUGGUUUAAUUCGAGGCAACGCGAAGAACCUUACCAGCUCUUGAAUCCCGAUCGCGAUUAGAGGAGACUCUUUUCUUCAGCUUGGCUGGAUCGGUGACAGGUGGUGCACGGCUGUCGUCAGCUCGUGUCGUGAGAUGUUGGGUUAAGUCCCGCAACGAGCGCAACCCUCAUCCUUAGUUGCUAACAUUUAGUUGAGAACUCUAAGGAAACCGCCGGUGUUAAACCGGAGGAAGGUGAGGACGACGUCAAGUCAUCAUGCCCCUUACGGGCUGGGCUACACACGUGCUACAAUGGCAGUGACAAUGGGUUAAUCCAUAAAAACUGUCUCAGUUCGGAUUGUCGGCUGCAACUCGCCGGCA
This 506-nucleotide ribosomal RNA is filed under the name uncultured bacterium. RNAcentral's name for it is "bacterial SSU rRNA". It matches the Rfam family "Bacterial small subunit ribosomal RNA", at positions 791 to 1320 of the family's 1533-position model. The record is from RNAcentral.